GGCAACCUGCCCGCAAGACCGGGAUAACUCCGGGAAACCGGAGCUAAUACCGGAUAACACCGAAGACCGCAUGGUCUUCGGUUGAAAGGCGGCCUUUGGGCUGUCACUUGCGGAUGGGCCCGCGGCGCAUUAGCUAGUUGGUGAGGUAACGGCUCACCAAGGCGACGAUGCGUAGCCGGCCUGAGAGGGUGACCGGCCACACUGGGACUGAGACACGGCCCAGACUCCUACGGGAGGCAGCAGUAGGGAAUCUUCCGCAAUGGGCGAAAGCCUGACGGAGCGACGCCGCGUGAGCGAAGAAGGCCUUCGGGUCGUAAAGCUCUGUUGUUAGGGAAGAAGAAGCCCGCUCGAACAGCG
RNAcentral lists this ribosomal RNA (357 nucleotides) under uncultured bacterium. RNAcentral describes it as "bacterial SSU rRNA". It matches the Rfam family "Bacterial small subunit ribosomal RNA", at positions 120 to 468 of the family's 1533-position model. The record is from RNAcentral.